Long non-coding RNA from Acinonyx jubatus (cheetah), 2240 nucleotides. RefSeq lists it as uncharacterized. The transcript has 2 exons. The record is from RefSeq and is a predicted model, not a curated record. Lineage: Eukaryota; Metazoa; Chordata; Mammalia; Carnivora; Felidae.
UUGAGAGAGAGAGACAGAGCACAAGUGGGGGAGGGGCAGAGAGAGAGGGAGACACAGAAUCCGAAGCAGGCUCCAGGCUCUGAGCUGUCAGCACAGAGCCCGAUGUGGGGCUCGAACCCACAAACCGUGAGAUCAUGACCUGAGCCGAAGUCAGCCGCUCAACUGACUGAGCCACCCAGGUGCCCCCCACAAGGCAAUUGUUAAAACAGAAAACAACAAUACUGAAACCUGUAGAGAGUUAAAUCCUGUAUGUCUUAUCUUUUUGUCAGCUAUUUAAAGAAGGCUAAAAAAAUACUUCCAAACUUGUCAAGAGAAAUUAUCGUUAAUUUGGCUAAAUUUAAACCACAACUGUAUGGCAUGAAAAACUAGUAUGUGUGUGUCUGUGUGGGUUUUGUGUGUGUGUGUGUGCAUGUGGCAGUUGGAAGGUAGAUUAAGGAGAGAGCUCGAAAGGAAAUGUCACAUGAUUUCACUUCUCACUGUUUUGUUGAUGGUUUAAAAAUGGUUUAUCCAAAUUGCUUAAUUGGUAUUAUAGAAUGAUACACUAAAAUAAAUUAGUGAGUUGCUUGUAAACCUAAGUUGUGAUAGCCACAUGUUAACAUUUAGGUACAUCUGCCCUAUUCAUUGUGAUUCAUAAGGUAGAACUUGUCUUCAUCCUCAAACUGACAACAAACCUCAGGAUUGUAGGAGCUGAUUGUUAACUGUAAGCAAGACUUUGAGCACCAGAGGAAGAUGAAUUUGUACAAAUGAAUUUGAAAUUCACACAGUUGUGGUAAUUUCUAGUGUAGCUACCUAUCACACAAAGUAAAUGUAAUUUUAGUAAGACCAUUUUUUUCUUUUCUAAUUAAAGGUGAAGUUAGUUGGCCUCUAGAGGAUUAAAUGUAAGGGAUCCCAUCGCCCAUUCAGGAAAUUCAGUUCCAUUUUCUCAGGUUGCUCUAUUACGUUAAAUCUUGUGUAUGAAGACCAUCCAGGACAUCCCACCCUGCUCCUGAGAUCUUACAAAUAUUCCAGAGUAUAUUGGAUAAUAAUAUAGUGACAUUUUAACACAUUAGGAAGAAAGAGCUACUGCAUAGGUGGUAUUCGCUAACAGCCUUCUGAUAACAUGGAUUUUAAAGCAUCAGUUUUCAUUUAUUUUAUUAUUUUUAUUAAUUUUUAUUGAAGUAAUUACUAUACCCUAUGUGGGGCUCGAACUCACAACCCAGAGAUCAAAAGUUGCAAAUCAUCAGUAUUUAAAGGACAGCGUUUCCAACUGAAUACAAUUUUCAAAAAAACACAAGGCAGUUAUUCAACAAAGUGACAGAUUCCGUAUCAAAUUUUAAUUUCAGUAGUUACAACUUGAAUGUUUUUGUUACUGUAUAGAUUGUCAAACUGAAAUGUGCUAAAACAAAAUAAGUAACCACAUAUUUUACAUCCAAAAAUUAAUUUUAAGUUUUUUUUAGAUAACCUUCAAUAUUUGAAAUUCUGCAACUGGAUUACAGAUGAUAACAGGCACUAAGAAACUGCUUUGACAGAGCGCGUCACAGAGCUGUUUGGCGUCGACCUCCUUGUCUACGUUACAUGAAAUCCUAUUAGACAAGUUGUAGGAAGAUUUGGCGGUAGUUAAUGUUCAAGUCUUAAUAUGAAAUUCCUUUUAUCAAGGGAAGCCAAAUGCAGAUUACAUAAAUGAGAUUGUAUGGUUUGUGAAUCAUCUUUGAUAAUGUCCAGUAACAGAGCCAAGGAUUUUCCAGUUGAAAGGGAGUGCAGCUGGUCAUGGGUUGUGUGGGGCGAUGGUGGGUGAUUGUGGCACUGAUAGCUAUUCUGGUUAACUUCACAUUGGGGAGGGAGGAUUUGGAGAAUUGUUGGCACUUUGGGUUAACUCCUAUGGCAGCUGGCCAGCAAAUUCCAAAACUGCAAAUCAGAGAAUCAUAAAAAAAAGAUUCCACAUAGCCCUUAAACACUUUAUAUUAACUAAACACACAUAGAUGCACAUUCACUUACUGAUGUUUGGAUGUAGAUCCCAGGCUUUUUCUCUGAAUAUGGAUUCGUUCUUCUAACCACACAGCCAUGUUGCAGCUGGGGUUUCUUCAAAGUGGAAAGAGCUGGAUAGUCUGGGUGGAAGAUUCACUAUGACUUUUAGUAAUUUCCUUUCCUCCUUUUUAGAGGUAAUGUCUUCCAUACCAAAUUUGACACCAUUUUUUUCAUUUUUAGUAAUUUGUCUUCAUCAAAUGCUUCCAAGGCAUUCAUUGAACAGGCUUUUUUUUAAA